AGAAUCAACGCUGGCGGCGUGCCUAACACAUGCAAGUCGAACGAGAAAGUGGAGCAAUCCAUGAGUAAAGUGGCGCACGGGUGAGUAACACGUGACUAACCUACCCUUGAGUGGGGAAUAACUGAGGGAAACCUUAGCUAAUACCGCAUAAUACCUACGGGUCAAAGGAGCAAUUCGCUUAAGGAGGGGGUCGCGGCAGAUUAGCUAGUUGGCGGGUAAUGGCCCACAAGGCAGUGAUCUGUA
This 243-nucleotide ribosomal RNA is filed under the name uncultured bacterium. RNAcentral describes it as "partial small subunit ribosomal RNA". It matches the Rfam family "Bacterial small subunit ribosomal RNA", at positions 26 to 285 of the family's 1533-position model. The record is from RNAcentral.